AAGUCGUGCGGGUAUCCGCAAGGGUACCAGCGGCGCACGGGUGAGUAACACGUGGGUAAUCUACCCCUCGGAGGGGGAUAACCGGGGGAAACCCCGGCUAAUACCCCAUACGAUCCAACGACGACGGUCGUUGGAUGAAAGGAGCGUUUGCUUCGCCGAGGGAUGAGCCCGCGUCCCAUCAGGUAGUUGGUGGGGUAACGGCCCACCAAGCCUACGACGGGUAGCCGGCCUGAGAGGGUGGCCGGCCACAAGGGCACUGAGACACGGGCCCUACUCCUACGGGAGGCAGCAGUGGGGAAUCUUGGACAAUGGGCGAAAGCCUGAUCCAGCGACGCCGCGUGGGGGAUGAAGCCCUUCGGGGUGUAAACCCCUGUUGCGAGGGAGGGAAUAAGGCCUGGAGGAAAUGCCCAGGCCGAUGACUGUACCUCGCGAGAAAGCCCCGGGCUAACUACGUGCCAGCAGCCGCGGUAAAUACGUAGGGGGGGCAAAGCGUUACCCGGAUUUCACUGGGGCGUAAAGGGGGGGUGUAGGCGGGCUCGGUAAAGUCGGGGUGUGAAAUCCCCACGGCUCCAACCGUGGAAAUUGCGCCCCGAAACUGCUGAGCUUUGGGGGCCGGUAGAGGGGAGACGGAACUGCCGGGUGUAGGGGUGAAAUCCGUAGAUAUCGGGCAGGAACCGCCGGUGGGGAAGCCGGUCUCCUGGGCCGCGCCCGACGCUGAGGCCCGAAAGCUAGGGGAGCAAACCGGAUUAGAUACCCGGGUAGUCCUAGCCGUAAACGAUGCCCACUAGGUGUGGGGGAUUAAUUCCUCCGUGCUGUAGCUAACGCGUUAAGUGGGCCGCCUGGGGAGUACGCCCGCAAGGGUGAAACUCAAAGGAAUUGGCGGGACCCCGCACAAGUGGUGGAGCGCGUGGUUCAAUUGGAUGCUGAGCCAAGAACCUUACCAGGGCUUGACAUGCAGGUGGUACCGACCCGAAAGGGGAGGGACCCCAUCCUUUUGGGUGGGGAGCCUGCACAGGUGGUGCACGGCCGUCGUCAGCUCGUGCCGUGAGGUGUUGGGUUAAGUCCCGCAACGAGCGCAACCCCUGCCCUUAGUUGCCAACGGUUCGGCCGGGCACUCUAAGGGGACCGCCGGCGACGAGCCGGAGGAAGGAGGGGACGACGUCAGGUACUCGUGCCCUUUAUGCCCUGGGCUACACACGCGCUACAAUGGGUGGUACAAUGGGUUGCGACCCCGCGAGGGGGAGCCAAUCCCUAAAACCACCCCCAGUUCGGAUCGCAGGCUGCAACCCGCCUGCGUGAAGCCGGAAUCGCUAGUAAUCGCGGAUCAGCCACGCCGCGGUGAAUACGUUCCCGGGGUUUGCACUCACCGCCCGUCA
Molecule: ribosomal RNA, 1376 nt
Filed under: uncultured bacterium
Lineage: Bacteria
Description: bacterial SSU rRNA
Rfam family: Bacterial small subunit ribosomal RNA
Source: RNAcentral